AAAUGAAUAGACGGGGACCCGCACAAGCAGCGGAGCAUGUGGUUUAAUUCGAAGCAACGCGAAGAACCUUACCAAGGCUUGACAUCCUCUGACCGCCAUAGAAAUAUGGUUUCCCUUCGGGGCAGAGAGACAGGUGGUGCAUGGUUGUCGUCAGCUCGUGUCGUGAGAUGUUCGGUUAAGUCCGGCAACGAGCGCAACCCUUAUUAACAGUUGCCAAUAUUAAGUUAGGGACUCUGUUAAGACUGCCGUGGGUUAACACGGAGGAAGGUGGGGACGACGUCAAAUCAUCAUGCCCCUUAUGUCUUGGGCUACACACGUGCUACAAUGGGCGUUACAAAGAGCAGCGACCCCGCGAGGGCAAGCGAAUCUCAAAAAGGCGCCCCCAGUUCGGAUUGCGGGCUGCAACCCGCCCGCAUGAAGGAGGAGUUGCUAGUAAUCCCGAAUCAGCAUGUCGGGGUGAAUGCGUUCCCGGGUCUUGUACACACCGCCCGU
This 492-nucleotide ribosomal RNA is filed under the name uncultured bacterium. RNAcentral describes it as "bacterial SSU rRNA". It matches the Rfam family "Bacterial small subunit ribosomal RNA", at positions 903 to 1397 of the family's 1533-position model. The record is from RNAcentral.